This 520-nucleotide unclassified non-coding RNA is filed under the name uncultured Glomus. RNAcentral's name for it is "SSU rRNA". It matches the Rfam family "Eukaryotic small subunit ribosomal RNA", at positions 569 to 1092 of the family's 1831-position model. Lineage: Eukaryota; Fungi; Glomeromycota; Glomeromycetes; Glomerales; Glomeraceae. The record is from RNAcentral.
AGCAGCCGCGGUAAUUCCAGCUCCAAUAGCGUAUAUUAAAGUUGUUGCAGUUAAAAGCUCGUAGUUGAAUUUCGGGGUUAGUAGGUUGGUCAUGCCUCUGGUAUGUACUGGUCUCACUGAUUCCUCCUUCCUGAUGAGCCGUAAUGCCAUUAAUUUGGUGUUGCGGGGAAUUUGGACUGUUACUUUGAAAAAGUUAGAGUGUUUAAAGCAAGCUAACGCUUGAAUACAUUAGCAUGGAAUAAUGAAAUAGGACGUUCGAUCCUAUUUUGUUGGUUUCUAGGAUUGACGUAAUGAUUAAUAGGGAUAGUUGGGGGCAUUAGUAUUCAAUUGUCAGAGGUGAAAUUCUUGGAUUUAUUGAAGACUAACUACUGCGAAAGCAUUUGCCAAGGAUGUUUUCAUUAAUCAAGAACGAAAGUUAGGGAUCGAAGACGAUCAGGUCCGUCGUAGUCUUAACCAUAAACUAUGCCGACUAGGGAUCGGAUGAUGUUAAUUUUUUAAUGUACUCAUUCGGCGCCUUAAC